CAUCUCCCUGAAUAACGCACUGAAGAUGGUGCUCUGCUUUCCUUACCAUCGUUCACCCGGCGCUUUCCCCAACAACGAAACGGGAAUCUUUCCCAGGAUUCCUGGACCAUGUGUUUCUGCUCACCGAUGCGCCCAGGCUUUCCCACCCUGGGAAGCAGACGAAAAUGCACCAAACAUGCGCUCCAAUCAAGGAAGACCAAUUAAUAAUAGUAAUGGAAACCAGUGAAGAUGAGAAGACAACGAGACACAUGUACGGUAAUUAAUUCAAAAUUUCAUCGCUUCAAUGUCAAGACUCAAAUGCAUGCACAUAUUUUUAAGAUGAAGAAGGUAACGGACAAUAGUUGCAGGUAUGAUGCGUCCAUAUUUAUCCUGUUUAUUUUGGUGGGAAACAUGAGUUUUCCGUCACGAAAGCCAAAAUCCCGAAGUCUGUUUGGGUAGCUGAUCACCAGUGCACGUGCAUCUGCUGCCGAUGGCUACGUCUUGUGCUCGUUCUCUGCCCCACCUAGAUCCUGACCAGUGGACCCCCGGCAGCUUGCGGGGUUCUCCCAGCCGCGGGCCGGUGGGUUUCCUUUGGCUCCAGGGUUCUGGCCACUGCGGUGUAUCUGACUGCCUGAGGAAUGUCACAGGUAGUGACUAAUGGGCUCGAUGCCCUGAAGAGGGACAAUGGAGC
Paramormyrops kingsleyae is the source of this 670-nucleotide long non-coding RNA. RefSeq lists it as uncharacterized. The record is from RefSeq and is a predicted model, not a curated record. NCBI's taxonomy places the organism in Eukaryota, Metazoa, Chordata, Actinopteri, Osteoglossiformes, Mormyridae.